UAGGGAAUCUUCCACAAUGGGCGAAAGCCUGAUGGAGCAACGCCGCGUGUGUGAUGAAGGCUUUCGGGUCGUAAAGCACUGUUGUAUGGGAAGAACAGCUAGAAUAGGAAAUGAUUUUAGUUUGACGGUACCAUACCAGAAAGGGACGGCUAAAUACGUGCCAGCAGCCGCGGUAAUACGUAUGUCCCGAGCGUUAUCCGGAUUUAUUGGGCGUAAAGCGAGCGCAGACGGUUUAUUAAGUCUGAUGUGAAAGCCCGGAGCUCAACUCCGGAAUGGCAUUGGAAACUGGUUAACUUGAGUGCAGUAGAGGUAAGUGGAACUCCAUGUGUAGCGGUGGAAUGCGUAGAUAUAUGGAAGAACACCAGUGGCGAAGGCGGCUUACUGGACUGCAACUGACGUUGAGGCUCGAAAGUGUGGGUAGCAAACAGGAUUAGAUACCCUGGUAGUCCACACCGUAAACGAUGAACACUAGGUGUUAGGAGGUUUCCGCCUCUUAGUGCCGAAGCUAACGCAUUAAGUGUUCCGCCUGGGGAGUACGACCGCAAGGUUG
Molecule: ribosomal RNA, 550 nt
Filed under: uncultured bacterium
Lineage: Bacteria
Description: bacterial SSU rRNA
Rfam family: Bacterial small subunit ribosomal RNA
Source: RNAcentral